Molecule: ribosomal RNA, 639 nt
Filed under: Triticum aestivum (bread wheat)
Lineage: Eukaryota; Viridiplantae; Streptophyta; Magnoliopsida; Poales; Poaceae
Description: partial small subunit ribosomal RNA
Source: RNAcentral
GUCAUCGGUUUUUCCAGCCAGCAGCAUUUGGCCGACUGCGCCGCACGAAGGGAGAAAGGAAGGGGGCAGGAAAACAGGGGGCGGCGCGGCGGAACGGAGAGCGGAGGAGAAAGAGAGGAAGCAGUCUCAGUUCUCGAUCUCCGAGGUUGGUGCCGGUGGCUAGGGCUGGAAGCCGGCGGCAGAGGCAGAUCUGAUCCGCGGGUGGCGGUGCAGAGGCGAGACUCCCCGGAGCUUCGGCCGGACCGGCCAUCCGAUUCCGCGGCCCGCCUCUGCGAUGGUCUCUGGCUGCUGCUGCUGACUGGAGUGAUGAAUUCGAGGCCGAUCGUGCUCGUCUUCCUCCUGCUCGUGCUCAUCAUAUCAUCGCAGUUCGAGUGGAAGCAGCAGAUCGGUGAGGCCGAGGCGAGUCCCGAAGCUACGCGGCGGAGGCAGCAACCGCUGGUCGUAAGGGAAGAUGCCGUUAAAGAGAAAAUAAUACUGGCGCAGGAGAAGAACAUCCAGCAGCUCACCGAGCUCAUCCAGAGCCUCCAGGUUCAGCUGCUGCAUUGUCGUGGCAGCAACAGCACUGCUCAUGGCGCCUCCUCGAAUCAGUCUUCAGCCAGUUACGCCGAAGCGGACAGGCAUCAGAUAAUCGAUGACUGA